UACAGAGGCCCCAAGCGUUACUGAGAAUCACUGGGUUUAAAGGGUGCGUAGGUGGUCCGUUAAGUCAGUUGUGAAAUCCCCGGGCUCAACCCGGGAACUGCUUCUGAUACUGGCGGACUUGAGGCCAGUAGGGGUCACUAGAACUGACGGUGGAGCGGUGAAAUGCGUAGAUAUCGUCAGGAAUGCCGGUGGUGAAGACGGGUGACUGGGCUGGUUCUGACACUGAGGCACGAAAGCGUGGGGAGCGAACGGG
This 253-nucleotide ribosomal RNA is filed under the name uncultured bacterium. RNAcentral's name for it is "partial 16S ribosomal RNA". It matches the Rfam family "Bacterial small subunit ribosomal RNA", at positions 524 to 776 of the family's 1533-position model. The record is from RNAcentral.